UACUCGAGUGGCGAACGGGUGAGUAACACGUGGGUAAUCUGCCCUGCACUUCGGGAUAAGCUUGGGAAACUGGGUCUAAUACCGGAUAGGAGCCAUCUUUAGUGUGGUGGUUGGAAAGUUUUUUCGGUGUAGGAUGAGCUCGCGGCCUAUCAGCUUGUUGGUGGGGUAAUGGCCUACCAAGGCGGCGACGGGUAGCCGGCCUGAGAGGGUGUACGGCCACAUUGGACUGAGAUACGGCCCAG
RNAcentral lists this ribosomal RNA (242 nucleotides) under uncultured Actinomycetales bacterium. RNAcentral's name for it is "partial 16S ribosomal RNA". It matches the Rfam family "Bacterial small subunit ribosomal RNA", at positions 88 to 334 of the family's 1533-position model. The record is from RNAcentral. Lineage: Bacteria; Bacillati; Actinomycetota; Actinomycetes; Actinomycetales.